This 198-nucleotide ribosomal RNA is filed under the name uncultured bacterium. RNAcentral describes it as "partial 16S ribosomal RNA". It matches the Rfam family "Bacterial small subunit ribosomal RNA", at positions 578 to 775 of the family's 1533-position model. The record is from RNAcentral.
GUUGGAUAAGCCCUCCGUGAAAUCUACAGGCUUAACCUUGGAACUGCACUUUUAACUACCGGGCUAGAGUACGUCAGAGGGGGGUAGAAUUCCACGUGUAGCAGUGAAAUGCGUAGAGAUGUGGAGGAAUACCGAUGGCGAAGGCAGCCCCCUGGGAUGAUACUGACGCUCAUGCACGAAAGCGUGGGGAGCAAACAG